UAAGGAAUAUUGGUCAAUGGACGCAAGUCUGAACCAGCCAUGCCGCGUGAAGGAAGACGGCCCUCCGGGUUGUAACCUUCUUUUGUACGGGAGAAAAUCUCCGGUCGUGAAUCGGAGCUGAUGGUACCGUAAGAAUAAGCAUCGGCUAACUCAGUGCCAGCAGCCGCGGUAAUACGGAGGAUGCAUGCGGUAUCCGGAGUCAUUGGGUUUAAAGGGUGCGCAGGCGGAAAGAUAAGUCAGUGGUGAAAUCCUACGGCUCAACUUGAGAACUGCCAUUGAUACUGUCGUUCUUGAGUACAGUUGGAGUGGGCGGAAUGUGGCAUGUAGCGGUGAAAUGCGUAGAUAUGACACAGAACACCGAUCGCGAAGGCAGCUCACUAAAUUGUAACUGACGCUCAGGCACGAAAGCGUGGGGAUCAAACA
RNAcentral lists this ribosomal RNA (423 nucleotides) under uncultured prokaryote. RNAcentral describes it as "bacterial SSU rRNA". It matches the Rfam family "Bacterial small subunit ribosomal RNA", at positions 355 to 774 of the family's 1533-position model. The record is from RNAcentral.